GACGACAUCACAGCUAACCACCUGACAUUCAGAAAGAGAUGCUGAGAUGACGUUCCGAAGGAGAUUGCAGAGGCUAUUCGUAUUGCAGUGCAGACCACUCGUAAGAAUGGUCUCAGAUAUCAGUAGAUGAAACUACCUCCACAUAUACUACUUUCACAAUGCAAUUUAUUCUAAAUAGCUCCACAUAAAUUCUAUAUUUCAGCCCUCCGACCCUAUUCACUAGCGUCUUAUUUCUCCCACCCUGUCCACCGGUGCCCCCUUUCUCCUCAGCCCAUUGACCGGCGCCGAUCCCACUCCCAUCCCCCUCAACCGGCGGGCGGCGGCGCCCCCUCCCGUCCUCCUCGGGGCGACGUCGGUCGGUGGAGCUCGUGCGGUGGAGGCGGGCGCUGCGGGCAAAUCGAUGCCGCUGAGGCUUGCGUCGAUCGACGGUGCUCGAGGACGGUGAAAGGGAUGGAGCUACAAGGACCACACACGGGAUACGAGCUGAGCGGCGUCUCUGACGAGGAGUGCAUGCCUUCUGCAGGGCGCGGACGGCUUCGCAGGGAUGCGGUCCCGUCCGAGGUAGCGAGCUAGAGCUAGCGUGCAGAGCUAGAGCCACCCCCGCCAGCUCACAGUCACUGCAGUGUGAAUGGCGUGAGAAAUAUAUCUUACCAUGUUCAGAUAAUGGAGGUGCCAUGAAAUGUCACUGUGAGUACUGAACCGACGGUGUACGGUAAUGAUGUUAGGGUACUGCUGCUGUUGGUGCGUGCUGGAUGGCAUCGUUCCGGCCAGUAGCAUGAGUUUGGUGCAGCUACAGAUACAGAUGAAUUUAGUUCAAUUGCAGUCAUGGAUACAGAGAUACAUGCAUACAGCAGCACUAUGAAACUUUGAGUUGAGGUGCAGCAUCUGCAGCAACGCUGAGCUGGAGCAGAGCAGCUUUGGUUUGCAACUUGCAACAUCGAGCAUGGGCCAAAUGUUGCAUAUGAACAGGAAAGGCGUCAGAAAUUCAUUGAUAGGGGCGCGUAGAUCAUCUUGAACAGCAACAGUUGUUCCUCUCAAAAUAGUCCGAACUAUGAUAAGGAGAUUUGCUUUGACAAAUGUCAGGAAAAAACAUUGUUUUGUGUAUUGGAUCAUUGUGUUGUGAGCUGAUAACAGUACCGAGGCCGCGUUCUGCAGUAUGGGUACCUGUCCUUACCCGAACGUGGCCCGAGUUUGUCAACCAUGGCCACCACGAACAUCCUUACCAGCCGCGGCAGCACACUUCAUCUCUCCUCCUGCCCAUAAACCUCACCACAAAAUGUUAAAGCCGAGCUGGUGGGAAUCUUUUCAUUCAAAGCCAAACUAUGUAUGCUCGGCGGCGCAGACGUCAACCGAGGAGAAUGGAGAGAGCGUCGACAAAUUGACGGCAGGGGGAGCAAGAAGCAAGCGUAGAUGUGUGCGUGCAAAGGCAGCCGGCCAAGUGAGGAGGGGUGGAUGGAGCAGAGAGGAUGGGAGCAGCUGCCCGCGGCCGCGGAGGCGGAGAAGACGCGAGCACUGAUUUCCUAUCUGCAGUGAACGCGUCAAUGCGCUGGGACGCAAUGAAGCUAGUAGAAGGCUUUCUGCUGAUCGAACGGUAGGCAGAGCAACGAACGAAAAUCUAAUGAUAUUGGUGGGCUACUGUAGUUUCUACAGUAAAUUGAGUCUUUAAACGAAGUACAGGUGUCAUGGCAAGGCACAACAGAGGCCCUUUCACCGGGAAUCAAUAUUUUAUAAAGAUGAGACAGUUCAUUAAAUCACUGUUUGAAAGCAUUUGAUCUGACGAUGACCAAAUGACUGACUGACUUUAAGGAAAAUGACAAAUUGCGUUUGAGAUCCCUCUUCUAGAUUGGGCCCAACUUGGUUAGGGCCAUCCAUCAUCAACCAGUAUAGCACGUCUCCUUUUAGCUUGCAACUAAUAAAAAAACAGUUUGGUUUGUUUUUUGCUCGCUUUUGC
Oryza brachyantha (malo sina) is the source of this 1951-nucleotide long non-coding RNA. RefSeq lists it as uncharacterized. Lineage: Eukaryota; Viridiplantae; Streptophyta; Magnoliopsida; Poales; Poaceae. The record is from RefSeq and is a predicted model, not a curated record. The transcript has 3 exons.